GACGGAGCACGUGAAAUUCCGUCGGAAUCUGGGAGGACCAUCUCCUAAGGCUAAAUACUCUCUAGUGACCGAUAGUGAACCAGUACCGUGAGGGAAAGGUGAAAAGCACCCCGGAAGGGGAGUGAAAUAGAACCUGAAACCGUGUGCUUACAAGUAGUCAGAGCCCGUUAAUGGGUGAUGGCGUGCCUUUUGUAGAAUGAACCGGCGAGUUACGAUUUGAUGCAAGGUUAAGCAGUAAAUGUGGAGCCGUAGCGAAAGCGAGUCUGAAUAGGGCGUUUAGUAUUUGGUCGUAGACCCGAAACCAGGUGAUCUACCCUUGGUCAGGUUGAAGUUCAGGUAACACUGAAUGGAGGACCGAACCGACUUACGUUGAAAAGUGAGCGGAUGAACUGAGGGUAGCGGAGAAAUUCCAAUCGAACCUGGAGAUAGCUGGUUCUCUCCGAAAUAGCUUUAGGGCUAGCCUCAAGUGAUGAUUAUUGGAGGUAGAGCACUGUUUGGACGAGGGGCCCCUCUCGGGUUACCGAAUUCAGACAAACUCCGAAUGCCAAUUAAUUUAACUUGGGAGUCAGAACAUGGGUGAUAAGGUCCGUGUUCGAAAGGGAAACAGCCCAGACCACCAGCUAAGGUCCCAAAAUAUAUGUUAAGUGGAAAAGGAUGUGGCGUUGCCCAGACAACUAGGAUGUUGGCUUAGAAGCAGCCAUCAUUUAAAGAGUGCGUAAUAGCUCACUAGUCGAGUGACACUGCGCCGAAAAUGUACCGGGGCUAAACAUAUUACCGAAGCUGUGGAUUGUCCUUUGGACAAUGGUAGGAGAGCGUUCUAAGGGCGUUGAAGCAUGAUCGUAAGGACAUGUGGAGCGCUUAGAAGUGAGAAUGCCGGUGUGAGUAGCGAAAGACGGGUGAGAAUCCCGUCCACCGAUUGACUAAGGUUUCCAGAGGAAGGCUCGUCCGCUCUGGGUUAGUCGGGUCCUAAGCUGAGGCCGACAGGCGUAGGCGAUGGAUAACAGGUUGAUAUUCCUGUACCACCUAUAAUCGUUUUAAUCGAUGGGGGGACGCAGUAGGAUAGGCGAAGCGUGCGAUUGGAUUGCACGUCUAAGCAGUAAGGCUGAGUAUUAGGCAAAUCCGGUACUCGUUAAGGCUGAGCUGUGAUGGGGAGAAGACAUUGUGUCUUCGAGUCGUUGAUUUCACACUGCCGAGAAAAGCCUCUAGAUAGAAAAUAGGUGCCCGUACCGCAAACCGACACAGGUAGUCAAGAUGAGAAUUCUAAGGUGAGCGAGCGAACUCUCGUUAAGGAACUCGGCAAAAUGACCCCGUAACUUCGGGAGAAGGGGUGCUCUUUAGGGUUAACGCCCAGAAGAGCCGCAGUGAAUAGGCCCAAGCGACUGUUUAUCAAAAACACAGGUCUCUGCUAAACCGUAAGGUGAUGUAUAGGGGCUGACGCCUGCCCGGUGCUGGAAGGUUAAGAGGAGUGGUUAGCUUCUGCGAAGCUACGAAUCGAAGCCCCAGUAAACGGCGGCCGUAACUAUAACGGUCCUAAGGUAGCGAAAUUCCUUGUCGGGUAAGUUCCGACCCGCACGAAAGGCGUAACGAUUUGGGCACUGUCUCAACGAGAGACUCGGUGAAAUCAUAGUACCUGUGAAGAUGCAGGUUACCCGCGACAGGACGGAAAGACCCCGUGGAGCUUUACUGUAGCCUGAUAUUGAAAUUCGGCACAGCUUGUACAGGAUAGGUAGGAGCCUUUGAAACGUGAGCGCUAGCUUACGUGGAGGCGCUGGUGGGAUACUACCCUAGCUGUGUUGGCUUUCUAACCCGCACCACUUAUCGUGGUGGGAGACAGUGUCAGGCGGGCAGUUUGACUGGGGCGGUCGCCUCCUAAAAGGUAACGGAGGCGCUCAAAGGUUCCCUCAGAAUGGUUGGAAAUCAUUCAUAGAGUGUAAAGGCAUAAGGGAGCUUGACUGCGAGACCUACAAGUCGAGCAGGGUCGAAAGACGGACUUAGUGAUCCGGUGGUUCCGCAUGGAAGGGCCAUCGCUCAACGGAUAAAAGCUACCCCGGGGAUAACAGGCUUAUCUCCCCCAAGAGUUCACAUCGACGGGGAGGUUUGGCACCUCGAUGUCGGCUCAUCGCAUCCUGGGGCUGUAGUCGGUCCCAAGGGUUGGGCUGUUCGCCCAUUAAAGCGGUACGCGAGCUGGGUUCAGAACGUCGUGAGACAGUUCGGUCCCUAUCCGUCGUGGGCGUAGGAAAUUUGAGAGGAGCUGUCCUUAGUACGAGAGGACCGGGAUGGACAUACCUCUGGUGUACCAGUUGUCGUGCCAACGGCAUAGCUGGGUAGCUAUGUGUGGACGGGAUAAGUGCUGAAAGCAUCUAAGCAUGAAGCCCCCCUCAAGAUGAGAUUUCCCAACUUCGGUUAUAAGAUCCCUCAAAGAUGAUGAGGUUAAUAGGUUCGAGGUGGAAGCAUGGUGACAUGUGGAGCUGACGAAUACUAAUCGAUCGAAGACUUAAUCAA
Molecule: ribosomal RNA, 2502 nt
Filed under: Staphylococcus aureus
Lineage: Bacteria; Bacillati; Bacillota; Bacilli; Caryophanales; Staphylococcaceae
Description: partial 23S ribosomal RNA
Rfam family: Bacterial large subunit ribosomal RNA
Source: RNAcentral